RNAcentral lists this long non-coding RNA (352 nucleotides) under Setaria viridis. RNAcentral describes it as "long non-coding RNA (SVIR_LNC006261)". Lineage: Eukaryota; Viridiplantae; Streptophyta; Magnoliopsida; Poales; Poaceae. The record is from RNAcentral.
UUAUGAUUUGUUUUAUUUUUUUAUUCCUACAGGUCAGCAUGUGCUCGAGUGAUGGGAUGGACAAAGAGUUGGCAUCAUCUAAAUCUCUGGUUGUGACCAUCCUGGAUGUGAUGUAUGCUGAAGCUGGGGCGAAGCUAAGGUUGUUCGAUGAUUAGCCAGUGGUUGGCAAUUGUACAUGUUGGUAUGACUACCACGGUGAGAUCAGUUUGUUGGCUCUGCUCUAAAUUGCUGCAAUUUUAGUUUAUUCCAGUUUCCCUUUCCUUAACAACUCUAAGAUCCAACUCUACUACAAUCAUCAGUCCACUCAUUCAGAUAAUAUACACUGCUCCUUACUUUCAAGGCAACCUGCAAC